GAUGAACGCUGACAGAAUGCUUAACACAUGCAAGUCAACUUGAACUUCGGUUUGGGUGGCGGACGGGUGAGUAACGCGUAAAGAACUUGCCUCACAGUUAGGGACAACAUUUGGAAACGAAUGCUAAUACCUGAUAUUAUGAUUUUAGGGCAUCCUAGAAUUAUGAAAGCUAUAUGCGCUGUGAGAGAGCUUUGCGUCCCAUUAGCUAGUUGGAGAGGUAACGGCUCACCAAGGCGAUGAUGGGUAGCCGGCCUGAGAGGGUGAACGGCCACAAGGGGACUGAGACACGGCCCUUACUCCUACGGGAGGCAGCAGUGGGGAAUAUUGGACAAUGGACCAAGAGUCUGAUCCAGCAAUUCUGUGUUCACGAUGAAGUUUUUCGGAAUGUAAAGUGCUUUCAGUUGGGAAGAAAAAAAUGACGAUACCAACAGAAGAAGUGACGGCUAAAUACGUG
This 454-nucleotide ribosomal RNA is filed under the name uncultured bacterium. Its description in RNAcentral is "partial 16S ribosomal RNA". It matches the Rfam family "Bacterial small subunit ribosomal RNA", at positions 28 to 507 of the family's 1533-position model. The record is from RNAcentral.